AUCACUUCUCAGCCUUUUGGCUAAGAUCAAGUGUAGUAUCUGUUCUUAUCAGUUUAAAAACUAAACAUAGAUAUUUGUAAUAUAUGUAUGUAUCAAUGUAU
Small nuclear RNA from Oryctolagus cuniculus (rabbit), 101 nucleotides. Its record names the gene U2. It matches the Rfam family "U2 spliceosomal RNA". From Rfam's summary of the family: U2 is a small nuclear RNA (snRNA) component of the spliceosome (involved in pre-mRNA splicing). Lineage: Eukaryota; Metazoa; Chordata; Mammalia; Lagomorpha; Leporidae. The record is from Ensembl.